Camellia sinensis is the source of this 235-nucleotide non-coding RNA. The record is from RefSeq and is a predicted model, not a curated record. NCBI's taxonomy places the organism in Eukaryota, Viridiplantae, Streptophyta, Magnoliopsida, Ericales, Theaceae.
GGAAAGAGGACGCACGGGUGAGCAUCGUGAGUGGUGGUGGAAAGAAAGGAUUAAGGAAUUAAUUUAAGGUGACGAGGUUUAGCGGGACCAAGAUGGAAAAUGAAUUGCUAUGUUAUUUUGUUUUUUUUAGAUUUCUAUCUUUUAUUAUUAAACUCUUGUAAUACAGUGAAGCUCAAAUGACUAUGUUUUAUUUCCUUUUAAAUAAAUAGUUGGUACCCAGUUAUUUAUUUUAAUU